AAAUGUGGACAUUUGUACCGAACAACUUGCUCAUAGUUAAACUCUUUAGAAUGUCCAGUACGAGCUAUACAUAUGAUGUUCAUACUGGAAGAUUCGGUGACAGACUGAAGCUGGAUCAUCAGACUGGAUCUCUGACCAUCACAAACACAAAAACCACAGAUUCUGGACUUUAUGAAGUGACCACUGGAAGAAACAGACAGAUCAAAUACAGAUUUCAUGUUACUGUCUCCGGAAUCUGAGACGGUGGUGAAGUACACGUGUUUCAGCUCUGAACAAUGAUUAAACUCUCUGUGAUUCUAUUUGUUCACAAAUUAUGCUCUGAUCAGAACAAUUUCAUCUGCCUUUUACACUUUAUUACUGAUUCAAAUAUAAUGUGAUUUUUGUCAUUUAUAUUUCCUCUAAGUGAUCUUCCUCUAAUGAGUUUAUUGUGAUCCUGAAUGAGGAAUACUCUAGAUUAUCAAAGAAUGCUUUAAUUAUUUAGUAUAAAUAUGCUUUUUUCCUCUCUCUCCACAUGUAUCCGGCUGCCGUUUUCUUUUAUUACAUUAUGUCGAGCGCCCCCUGGAGGACUUACUUUAUGUAUAUAAAUUUUCAUCAGAGCACAACAUAUUGAGCUUUACACUAUUAAAACCUUAUUUGUAACUGUAUAGUAUUUUUAAGCUCAUUACUUUUUCAAAUACAAACUUUUUUUUUUAUUUACUCUUAAUUGUCAUUUGUUUACUAUUUUAUGAAUGCAUUGGCUUUUUUUAUUUUUAUUUAUGGAAUCAUAACAUCCCGUUUUUGGACAAUAAUAAUAAAUGUGAAAUGUGUAUUAUUUUUUGUUUAAAAUAAUCAGUGAAUUCGCCGAGUUUGUUGUCCCAUUUCUGGUUUCUCAGAAGCGGAAGUCGUCAUCGAUCGGUAAGCCUCUAUAAUGGUGAAUGGAGUUCACAGCAGAGCUGCGUUCAGCACCGACAAAACAUUGCAAAAUGUUUUUUUUUAAACAGAAAUGGUGGUGCGUUGAACACCCUGUUCUGAUGAGCAAGAGUUUCAACUAUGGCAUCUGAGAAGGCCAUUCUUUGUUUUCUUUUUUAAGAAUUUUCUGAGCCUGAUGAAAUCGCUAUAAAUACGUGUUAAAUACUAGACUAACUGUACUAGACUGAGACUUGUCAUAGCACUUGUAUACCGUUGUUGUUCUCGUUGAUCUGAUUGUUUCUACUGUUCUCAUUUGUAAGUCGCUUUGGAUAAAAGCGUCUGCUAAAUGAUUAAAUGUAAAUGUAAAUGUAAAUACACAAAAUACACUCAUUGUUAAAGUCACUGCCCUUGCCGUCCUGGAUAAAAGACAACAUCCCAAUUGAAUGAAGGGA
This is a long non-coding RNA of Cyprinus carpio (common carp), 1340 nucleotides long. RefSeq lists it as uncharacterized. The record is from RefSeq and is a predicted model, not a curated record. Lineage: Eukaryota; Metazoa; Chordata; Actinopteri; Cypriniformes; Cyprinidae. The transcript is spliced from 2 exons.